AUACGGAGGGGGCUAGCGUUGUUCGGAAUUACUGGGCGUAAAGCGCGCGUAGGCGGACCAGUCAGUCAGGGGUGAAAUCCCGGGGCUCAACCCCGGAACUGCCUUUGAUACUGCUGGUCUUGAGUUCGAGAGAGGUGAGUGGAAUUCCGAGUGUAGAGGUGAAAUUCGUAGAUAUUCGGAGGAACACCAGUGGCGAAGGCGGCUCACUGGCUCGGUACUGACGCUGAGGUGCGAAAGCGUGGGGAGCAAACAGGAUUAGAAACCCCAGUAGUCC
This 274-nucleotide ribosomal RNA is filed under the name uncultured bacterium. Its description in RNAcentral is "partial 16S ribosomal RNA". It matches the Rfam family "Bacterial small subunit ribosomal RNA", at positions 523 to 796 of the family's 1533-position model. The record is from RNAcentral.